CCCCCGCCCUCGUGCGAAUAUGCCAUCAGCCCGACCCAAAAAGGAUCCUUUUGGAAUCAGCAUCCUCCGAUCCUUCCCCCGUCCUCGAGCCGCGACCUCUUCCUUCCUUCCUUCCCCUCUACUUAUAUAGCUCGAAGCGAUCCCAUUCCGGUGGGAAGGACCGGGCCGGGAGAGGGACUUCCGGCCGGUUCGCAGUGCUCCCAAGCAAACAGUCAACUGAAGUGAGCUAGAAUUUCAUGGGUCUCAUGGAUAGAGCAGGUCCUUCUAGAGUCCUAGAGGGGAUUCAUGGGGUGCAACUGGUAGGCCAACCAACAUACAGAGAUGAAACACUUCAUUGUGGGGAUUUUGUUCUUGAAACUUGUGAUGGUCCACAGGUUGUUGGAACCAGCCAGGGGUUGCUAAUCCGACAAAUGUUGCAUCAGAGACCAGCAUGCUUUAGGCCCAUUCGCUGUAGACUUCAAGGUGAUCAGAACAUUACAGAAACCAUCGCUAAUGUCCUGACCUCACUGCCUUUUAUUUUUCUUGGAUUUCGAGCACCAAGGAAGAAUUUGAACACAUCGCUCUACGCUAAUUCGUUAAUUGGAGUUGGGAUUGCCUCAAGCUUAUACCAUUCUUCAAGAGGGGAAGUCAGAAAAAUUCUUAGAUGGGCAGACUACACAAUGAUUGCUGCAACUACAGUUUGUCUAUCAAGGGCACUCAGAGAUGAGAACCCAAAACUGUUAACAGCGGCAUCAACAUUGCUUUUGCCAUUCCAGCCUUUUAUGGUUUCAGCUGUCCAUACUGGAUUGAUGGAGGUUGCAUUUGCUAGAAGAGCAUUAACAAAACCAGAGCUCAGGAUGGCACAUAAUCUGCAUACAGUGUCAUCUAUAUUAGGCGGCGCACUUUUUAUUGCUGAUGAUUGCUUUCCCGAGACUCCUUUUAUUCAUGCAGCCUGGCACCUUGCUGCAGCAGUUGGUGUAGGGACAUGUAAUAAGCUUCUUGAAUGAUGUUAUGAGCAUCCUCACCUGCAAUCCUCUUUCUUUGAUGAACUCUAUGCAAGAGCAGGCCAUUAUCAUCAAUCCGUUGAUAUGUCAAUGUAUAGGAAGACUGUCACCCACACAAAAUGAAAACAAGCAACUGACUCUUCCUAGGGAUUAUCACAGUCUCACCAUGGGUGAAGACCUCAAUGGACCAAUUGUGUCAAAUUGACAGACUAAAAAGUGCAGAAGAACACCUCAAGCUCUCAAAACAGGCUGUCAGAGUCUGCUGCAACGGCUUAUCAUCUUAACAAGACUGAUUAGAGGAAAAGAGGGAAAGGGAAGAGGUCCAACAUCUGUAUGAACUCCUGAAUGAAGGCUCCAACAAACUCAGAGACACCUAAGACAAAAGGACAACCGACAAAAGGACAGCCAACAAAGGAAAGAAACAAGGGCAUAAAGAAUGAAAAGAAGAAAUAAGAAACUAAGGGAUGUGGAGAAGAUAUGAAGGCCAUUAAAAAACACCCAUGGUCCAGGUCUAUAGGUUCAUUUCUUCCUCCCUUUUGCUUUCUAGUCUUUCAGGUUUGCCAAUAUGUUGUGUUUUCUUUUUCUUUUUUUUUCCAUAUAAGGAGGAGAAGAAGAAUAAGGGGACCUAAAGGGGAAUUACUUCGUUAUUCAAGAGCCCAACUGUACGAAUCCAGAAUUUUUUCUUUUAUCUAUGAUUAACUUCUUCUUUCCUUUUUUUGGUUAUUUUUUUCUUUUUUUAAAAAAAUUUGUAUCACAUGAAGAAGGAGAAGAAGAAGAAAAUACUGAACAAGGAGACAGCCAGGUAUGCAUAUAUAUUUCUUUCUAAUUCCUCUUUUUUUAAAAACUUUUCAGGCUUUCUAAUAUCUGAUUUCUGAUUUGAAUCUUGUUUUACAAUAAGAGCCAGAAGAACAAAGAAGAGAACCAGAAGAAGCAGGAA
Non-coding RNA from Elaeis guineensis (African oil palm), 1920 nucleotides. The record is from RefSeq and is a predicted model, not a curated record. NCBI's taxonomy places the organism in Eukaryota, Viridiplantae, Streptophyta, Magnoliopsida, Arecales, Arecaceae.